AGGAAGUUGGUGCUCCUCCUCUCCUGCUCCUCCCUCUUCCUCCUCCUCCUCCUCAUCCUCCUCCUCCUCCUCCUCCUCCUCCUCCUCCCACCCCAUUCCAGCACCAAGGUCAAAAGUGUCCAAUGGAAAGAUUUUGGAGGGAGGAGGAGGAGGAGGAGGAGGAGGAGAAGUGGAAGAGGAGGAGGAGGAAGACAAACCCAAGAUUGCCUCCAUAAGAAGACAGUUUGAAAAGAAGAAGGAAGAGGAGGAGGAGGAGGAGGAGGAGGAGGAGGAGGAGGAGGAGGAGGAAGAGGAGAAGAAGAAGAAGGAAGAGAAGAAGGAGAAAGAAAAGGCCCCCCCCUCUCCGUUCCCUACUCGAAGACCAACACUAACCCGCAGCUUCCGACGAGUUUGCAAAUUCCGACAUCUUAAGGGAACAGUUGGACACAAGAACACUUGCAUUGACAACCUCCGGGAUCUUUGCAGAACACUCCCAAAUGAAAGCGACGGUCUUGCUGCGAACGAAAAGUGGGUAGCAGUCGCUCUGAGUGGGGCUGGGGGACGUGUGGCAUGUCUAAACCACACCCAACCUGGCAGGCUUCUGGAGGGAGUCAUUCCAUCGUUCGUCAAUUCAAGUGGUGUGACGGACUUUACUUUUGAACCGUUCACCACUAACUUGCUGGCUGUGGCUUGUGAUGACGGCAAGAUUAACUUCUGGACUAUUCCUGAAAAUGGUCUGAAGGAGUCGACAAACACACCGACGGACACUCUGAUUGACCUCACCUCCUCUGAUAAGGUGACAGUGCUAAGAUUUCAUCCCACUGCCAAGGGUGUGCUGGCAGCCAUUGUUGCAGUUAAGAACGUGGUCAAGAUCUGGGACACCAAACUACCAAGAAUAACUAUAACUUUGCAGUCACACCCAGAUCAGAUAUUCAGUGGUGCGUGGUCCAUCUGUGGCAAAUAUUUCGCCACACUCUGCCGCGACGGACGAGUUAGGAGCUUUGAGCCACGGAAGUCCACCACAGCGCUCCUAACUGGCAGUAGCAGUGGUGGUGGUGGAAGUGGUCGUGGCGGGCGGCUGGUGUGGGCUGCCAAGGAUGAGCUGAUCAUAACUACUGGGUUCAAUAAAGUCUCGGAGCGUCAGAUCAGUGUGUACCGCAGUGUCGAUGGUCAAUUUCUGAACACUAUUGGUCUUGACGUCAGCCCGGCUUUGCUCUCUAUCUACUAUGACCAAGACACCUCUGUGCUACUAACUUCAGGAAAGGGGGAUAGCACUAUUUACGCCCAUGAAGUCGGCACAGAUGCUCCACACGUGUUUCCUCUCACACACCACAAAUGCUCCACUGUGCACCAGGGCCUGGUCACACUCCCCAAGAUUCUCUGCGAUGUUGCCAGCGUUGAGUUUCUGAAGAUGCUACGUCUAACCUCUUCAGUGUUGGAACCUCUCUCUUUCUCUGUUCCUCGGGUCAAGACAGAAUAUUUCCAAGAUGAUCUGUUUCCACCCACAAGAGUCGUUUGGGAGGCUGUGAUGACCUCGGCAGAGUGGUUUGGAGGCAGUAACAGGCCAUCCCACACUCUCUCCCUGCAGCCACACAACAUGCCUGCACGUAGGUAGUAGUGGUAGCA
RNAcentral lists this unclassified non-coding RNA (1605 nucleotides) under Portunus trituberculatus (swimming crab). RNAcentral describes it as "coronin-7-like, transcript variant X2". Lineage: Eukaryota; Metazoa; Arthropoda; Malacostraca; Decapoda; Portunidae. The record is from RNAcentral.